RNAcentral lists this non-coding RNA (23 nucleotides) under Arabidopsis thaliana (thale cress). Lineage: Eukaryota; Viridiplantae; Streptophyta; Magnoliopsida; Brassicales; Brassicaceae. The record is from RNAcentral.
ACAAGAGUCAGCACUAAACAGUA